UUUCUUCUGCGCCUGUUUCGCUUGACCGACGAUGUCGAAUACAGAAGGGGCAUGAUAGCCGAUGAGGGGGAACGCUGUGUACGGAUAGCGCUCCUCUAUCGGCCGACCACUCCGGCUGCGUUUUGGGGAGCGCGGCUUUCAGACUGAAGCAACAGCAAGAGUCAGUAUAUAUGUGUAAAAAAUGAGGGGAGAUGAAAAUCGGCUAGGAAAAAGAGAGGUACCUCGGCGUUCGGGUCAAUGUUGGCUGGAUCCAGGAGAUUGCAGUAUACUGCUGCAGAAGCGCAGAACAAGUACUGUUUCCA
This 302-nucleotide long non-coding RNA is filed under the name Setaria italica (foxtail millet). RNAcentral describes it as "long non-coding RNA (SITA_LNC005021)". Lineage: Eukaryota; Viridiplantae; Streptophyta; Magnoliopsida; Poales; Poaceae. The record is from RNAcentral.